GGGAAGUUGGCGCAAGUGGUUAGCGCAGGAAUCUUAUACAUUCAAGGUUGGGGGUUCAAGUCCCUCACUUCCUA
RNAcentral lists this transfer RNA (74 nucleotides) under bacterium. RNAcentral describes it as "tRNA-Ile". It matches the Rfam family "tRNA". From Rfam's summary of the family: Transfer RNA (tRNA) molecules are approximately 80 nucleotides in length. Their secondary structure includes four short double-helical elements and three loops (D, anti-codon, and T loops). The record is from RNAcentral.